GCCAGUUUAGAUGCAUACCAUCCUAAUCUUUUACUCAUUGAAUUUCAUCUUACAAUUCCAAUCAUUCCAAUUCAAAAAGAACUAAUGAAAACAGAAAGCAACAUGAAAAAUUUCAACUCUUAAUACAAUUAAACUGAUGAUGCUCAACAACAUCCAGGCGUAUUAUUCUGAAAAUUAUAACCUGGUCAAGUAAUGGUAGAAAAUACAAUGUUCAAAUUGAAAGAGCAUUAAG
This 232-nucleotide unclassified non-coding RNA is filed under the name Hevea brasiliensis (rubber tree). Lineage: Eukaryota; Viridiplantae; Streptophyta; Magnoliopsida; Malpighiales; Euphorbiaceae. The record is from RNAcentral.